RNAcentral lists this ribosomal RNA (616 nucleotides) under Bacillus sp. TA40. Its description in RNAcentral is "bacterial SSU rRNA". It matches the Rfam family "Bacterial small subunit ribosomal RNA", at positions 173 to 775 of the family's 1533-position model. The record is from RNAcentral. Lineage: Bacteria; Bacillati; Bacillota; Bacilli; Caryophanales; Bacillaceae.
UACAUCGCACCGCAUGGUGCAAUGUUGAAAGUUGGCUUUCUGAGCUAACACUGCAGGAUGGGCCCGCGGCGCAUUAGCUAGUUGGUAAGGUAAUGGCUUACCAAGGCGACGAUGCGUAGCCGACCUGAGAGGGUGAUCGGCCACACUGGGACUGAGACACGGCCCAGACUCCUACGGGAGGCAGCAGUAGGGAAUCUUCCGCAAUGGACGAAAGUCUGACGGAGCAACGCCGCGUGAGUGACGAAGGCCUUCGGGUCGUAAAGCUCUGUUGUUAGGGAAGAACAAGUACCGUUCGAAUAGGGCGGUACCUUGACGGUACCUAACCAGAAAGCCACGGCUAACUACGUGCCAGCAGCCGCGGUAAUACGUAGGUGGCAAGCGUUGUCCGGAAUUAUUGGGCGUAAAGCGCGCGCAGGCGGUCUUUUAAGUCUGAUGUGAAAGCCCACGGCUCAACCGUGGAGGGUCAUUGGAAACUGGAGGACUUGAGUGCAGAAGAGGAGAGUGGAAUUCCACGUGUAGCGGUGAAAUGCGUAGAUAUGUGGAGGAACACCAGUGGCGAAGGCGGCUCUCUGGUCUGUAACUGACGCUGAGGCGCGAAAGCGUGGGGAGCAAACAG